CCCUUAGAUGUUCUGGGCCGCACGCGUGCUACACUGAGUGGAUCAGCGGGUCAGGUUGCGCGAAAGUGUUUCCUAAUCUUGAAAUCCGCUCGUGAUGGGGAUUGACGGUUGCAAUUUUCCGUCAUGAACGAGGAAUACCUUGUAAGCGCGGGUCAUCAUCCCGCGCUGAAUACGUCCCUGCCCUUUGUACACACCGCCCGUCGCUCCUACCGAUUGAGUGGUCCGGUGAGGCUUUGGGAUCUGAGCGGAAAGAGCGUUUCGCUGUUUCUGCCCGGAAAGCUCAGUCGAACCUUAUCAUUUAGAGGAAGGAGAAGUCGUAACA
Molecule: ribosomal RNA, 322 nt
Filed under: uncultured eukaryote
Lineage: Eukaryota
Description: partial 18S ribosomal RNA
Rfam family: Eukaryotic small subunit ribosomal RNA
Source: RNAcentral